RNAcentral lists this ribosomal RNA (360 nucleotides) under uncultured bacterium. RNAcentral's name for it is "bacterial SSU rRNA". It matches the Rfam family "Bacterial small subunit ribosomal RNA", at positions 29 to 416 of the family's 1533-position model. The record is from RNAcentral.
AACGAACGCUGGCGGCAUGCCUAACACAUGCAAGUCGAACGAGACCUUCGGGUCUAGUGGCGCACGGGUGCGUAACGCGUGGGAAACCUGCCUUUAGGUUCGGAAUAACUCAGAGAAAUUUGAGCUAAUACCGGAUAAUGUCUUCGGACCAAAGAUUUAUCGCCUUUAGAUGGGCCCGCGUUGGAUUAGCUAGUUGGUGGGUAAAGGCCUACCAAGGCGACGAUCCAUAGCUGGUCUGAGAGGAUGAUCAGCCACACUGGGACUGAGACACGGCCCAGACUCCUACGGGAGGCAGCAGUGGGGAAUAUUGGACAAUGGGCGAAAGCCUGAUCCAGCAAUGCCGCGUGAGUGAUGAAGGCC